UUGCUCUUCAACGAGGAAUUCCUAGUAAGCGUGAGUCAUCAGCUCGCGUUGAUUACGUCCCUGCCCUUUGUACACACCGCCCGUCGCUACUACCGAUUGAAUGGUUUAGUGAGGUCUCCGGAUUGACUUCGGGGAGCCGGCAACGGCACCCUGUUGUUGAGAAGCUGAUCAAACUUGGUCAUUUAGAGGAAGUAAAAGUCGUAACAAGGUUUCCGUAGGUGAACCUGCGGAAGGAUCAUUAAAGAUUCGGGCUUCGGCCUACCCUCUUCAGCUGUGCGCUUCGGCUGCACGCUGUCGAAACUCUCACACCUGUGCACCUUUUCGGUUGCGGCGUUCGCGUCGCUUCCGCUUUUACGUUUUACAACAGUCCAGAAUGUAACAAACCAUAAACGAAACAACUUUCAACAACGGAUCUCUUGGCUCUCGCAUCGAUGAAGAACGCAGCGAAAUGCGAUAAGUAAUGUGAAUUGCAGAAUUCAGUGAAUCAUCGAAUCUUUGAACGCACCUUGCGCUCCGUGGUAUUCCGCGGAGCAUGCCUGUUUGAGUGUCACGUCAACCCUCACCCUUGCGAUGUUACAGUUGCCUGUGGUGGACUUGGACCGUGCCGUAAUCGGCUCGUCCUGAAAUGCAUUAGCUUGCGCUUUUAGAGUGCUAGGCACCGGUGUGAUAAUUAUCUGCGCCAACGCCUUAAGCCUCUUUAGUGGUGCUGCUUAUAGUCGUCCUGACGGACAAUUUUUAAAGCUUUGGCCUCAAAUCAGGUAGGACUACCCGCUGAACUUAAGCAUAUCAAUAAGCGGAGGA
RNAcentral lists this ribosomal RNA (801 nucleotides) under uncultured fungus. RNAcentral describes it as "eukaryotic LSU rRNA". The stretch from base 1 to 241 matches the Rfam family "Eukaryotic small subunit ribosomal RNA", at positions 1593 to 1831 of the family's 1831-position model. The record is from RNAcentral. Lineage: Eukaryota; Fungi.